This 1495-nucleotide ribosomal RNA is filed under the name Salmonella enterica. Its description in RNAcentral is "bacterial SSU rRNA". It matches the Rfam family "Bacterial small subunit ribosomal RNA". Lineage: Bacteria; Pseudomonadati; Pseudomonadota; Gammaproteobacteria; Enterobacterales; Enterobacteriaceae. The record is from RNAcentral. RNAcentral also lists the same sequence under 1 other name.
UGGCGGCAGGCCUAACACAUGCAAGUCGAACGGUAACAGGAAGCAGCUUGCUGCUUUGCUGACGAGUGGCGGACGGGUGAGUAAUGUCUGGGAAACUGCCUGAUGGAGGGGGAUAACUACUGGAAACGGUGGCUAAUACCGCAUAACGUCGCAAGACCAAAGAGGGGGACCUUCGGGCCUCUUGCCAUCAGAUGUGCCCAGAUGGGAUUAGCUUGUUGGUGAGGUAACGGCUCACCAAGGCGACGAUCCCUAGCUGGUCUGAGAGGAUGACCAGCCACACUGGAACUGAGACACGGUCCAGACUCCUACGGGAGGCAGCAGUGGGGAAUAUUGCACAAUGGGCGCAAGCCUGAUGCAGCCAUGCCGCGUGUAUGAAGAAGGCCUUCGGGUUGUAAAGUACUUUCAGCGGGGAGGAAGGUGUUGUGGUUAAUAACCGCAGCAAUUGACGUUACCCGCAGAAGAAGCACCGGCUAACUCCGUGCCAGCAGCCGCGGUAAUACGGAGGGUGCAAGCGUUAAUCGGAAUUACUGGGCGUAAAGCGCACGCAGGCGGUCUGUCAAGUCGGAUGUGAAAUCCCCGGGCUCAACCUGGGAACUGCAUUCGAAACUGGCAGGCUUGAGUCUUGUAGAGGGGGGUAGAAUUCCAGGUGUAGCGGUGAAAUGCGUAGAGAUCUGGAGGAAUACCGGUGGCGAAGGCGGCCCCCUGGACAAAGACUGACGCUCAGGUGCGAAAGCGUGGGGAGCAAACAGGAUUAGAUACCCUGGUAGUCCACGCCGUAAACGAUGUCUACUUGGAGGUUGUGCCCUUGAGGCGUGGCUUCCGGAGCUAACGCGUUAAGUAGACCGCCUGGGGAGUACGGCCGCAAGGUUAAAACUCAAAUGAAUUGACGGGGGCCCGCACAAGCGGUGGAGCAUGUGGUUUAAUUCGAUGCAACGCGAAGAACCUUACCUGGUCUUGACAUCCACAGAAGAAUCCAGAGAUGGAUUUGUGCCUUCGGGAACUGUGAGACAGGUGCUGCAUGGCUGUCGUCAGCUCGUGUUGUGAAAUGUUGGGUUAAGUCCCGCAACGAGCGCAACCCUUAUCCUUUGUUGCCAGCGGUUAGGCCGGGAACUCAAAGGAGACUGCCAGUGAUAAACUGGAGGAAGGUGGGGAUGACGUCAAGUCAUCAUGGCCCUUACGACCAGGGCUACACACGUGCUACAAUGGCGCAUACAAAGAGAAGCGACCUCGCGAGAGCAAGCGGACCUCAUAAAGUGCGUCGUAGUCCGGAUUGGAGUCUGCAACUCGACUCCAUGAAGUCGGAAUCGCUAGUAAUCGUGGAUCAGAAUGCCACGGUGAAUACGUUCCCGGGCCUUGUACACACCGCCCGUCACACCAUGGGAGUGGGUUGCAAAAGAAGUAGGUAGCUUAACCUUCGGGAGGGCGCUUACCACUUUGUGAUUCAUGACUGGGGUGAAGUCGUAACAAGGUAACCGUAGGGGAACCUGCGGUUGGA